AUGCAAACAAACGCUAUUGAGGAUUUGCUAAGCUGCAUUGCACACGAAGAAACCAUUUCAAAUGAGUUAAAAAAAAGUCUUCCUGAUAUGUCAAAGGUAAGAGAUCGAAUGGCAAAAACUUUUGCGCAUAGAAGGAGAAUAAUACUUAAUUCUACCACAGCACAAAUACUAGAAGAGUAUCCAGCAUUAAGGAUUGCUACAGAGUUAUUAGAAGAGGUAAAUCUCAUAACUGGAAAUGAAGUAACCAAUAAAAUAAACUAGCUCUUUACUGCUGAAAGAUCUAUAAAAGUACUGGAGAUGGCCAAGUCGGGGAAAAGAAAUGCUAAAAAUAUUGACCUGGUGACUAACAUUGUGGCUGCCAUAGGAUCUGAGUCAAAUAUCAAUAUAGAAGCACAACAAAUAAGACCAUCGAUGUUGUGCUUGCCCGCCAUGUUUGGUGAAAAAAUUGAAAGAUGGGUCGUGAUAAAUAAGGAAUCAACUCUAAGCACACCAACAAUUAACAUUACUUGCUCAAAUCAAGCUAAUAUUCUGCAUUUUAAAGAUGUGCAUAUAGCGAUCU
This is a non-coding RNA of Hydra vulgaris (swiftwater hydra), 559 nucleotides long. NCBI's taxonomy places the organism in Eukaryota, Metazoa, Cnidaria, Hydrozoa, Anthoathecata, Hydridae. The record is from RefSeq and is a predicted model, not a curated record.